Molecule: ribosomal RNA, 402 nt
Filed under: uncultured bacterium
Lineage: Bacteria
Description: bacterial SSU rRNA
Rfam family: Bacterial small subunit ribosomal RNA
Source: RNAcentral
UGGGGAAUAUUGCACAAUGGGCGAAAGCCUGAUGCAGCAACGCCGCGUGAGUGAUGAAGGCCUUCGGGUUGUAAAGCUCUGUCUUCUGGGACGAUAAUGACGGUACCAGAGGAGGAAGCCACGGCUAACUACGUGCCCGCAGCCGCGGUAAUACGUAGGUGGCAAGCGUUGUCCGGAUUUACUGGGCGUAAAGGAUGCGUAGGCGGAUACUUAAGUCAGAUGUGAAAAUCCCGGGCUUAACUUGGGAACUGCAUUUGAAACUGGGUAUCUAGAGUGCGGGAGAGGAAAGUGGAAUUCCUAGUGUAGCGGUGAAAUGCGUAGAGAUUAGGAAGAACACCAGUGGCGAAGGCGACUUUCUGGACCGUAACUGACGCUGAGGCAUGAAAGCGUGGGGAGCAAACA